Molecule: long non-coding RNA, 2305 nt
Filed under: Homarus americanus (American lobster)
Lineage: Eukaryota; Metazoa; Arthropoda; Malacostraca; Decapoda; Nephropidae
Description: uncharacterized LOC121857775, transcript variant X1
Source: RNAcentral
AUUGGUCGACACACUUGUGGUGGAUGGGAGACGGGAACAGCUGUACACCGGUAUGCUCUCUCUGGCAUCUGUAGCAGCCAGACGUAUGAGUCAUGCUGGGAUAACUGGUCAUUACUGGUGACGUGACCUUGACCUAACCCUGACCUGACUCUCAACUAAAGAACAUGAAUUCAACGCCAGAUACUUCGUCCUCUUGGUCUACGCUGCCUCCGCCUGGCGAUGUGACCAAAAGCUUGGGCGAGCAGGAACGACUGACUCAAAUGUCCCACAUGCUGGACGUGACUGUGUGGAUGAUGAUCUUCUGUAUUUUCAUCUUCUUCUUUAUCAUCAUUGUCGCUGUCCUCUGUAUGCAGUGGCUGGAGAGAAGGAGUAAAGAUAAUCUUCGUGGUGAGUGCCUUCUGAUAUAGCGGGGCCAGUGCCAGGGUGCAUCACAGUUGUAACAUCCAACCAGCCUCACCUUCGUCUUAUUAACCAUUACCACCUUGAACCUUGUUACUACAGCACCACAGGGUAAGCUCUCUGGGCCUCUGCAAUUUCAUAUUUAUUCUUAAUUUGGAUUUUCGGGUUCGGUUUGCGGAUUCGGUUAUGAAAAUUAGGGUUAGGAGUUUGGAUUCAAGUUAAGUUUUUCGGAUUAUAGUUCAGAUAUUGGGAAUUCGAAGUCAAGGUUAAAUCUGAUUCGUUCUCAUUUUGUUAUUUAUAUUUUAUUGUUAAAUUUGAUACAUUUUUGUAAGAUUAUUUUUGUAGUUUGGGAUUUUUCUGCUAUUUUUGAAUACUAACUACAGGUUGUGUACAAGCCUAGUGAUCUACUAACAUACUUCCCCUCUCACCUCCUGUAGUAAACUGCCCCCUCGCUCCUUCUCCCCCCACAUCACGUGUGUCUACGAUGACGUCACCUACCACAAGCAAUGACGCACUUUACCAACACCUCACUCACAUCUGUCUUCCAAGAGUGUGUCAGUGUAGCCAUACCACCACCCUGACAGUGUUACCAUCACCAAGACACUGUUCCCAUCACCCUGACAGUGUUACCAUCACCACGACAGUGUUACCAUCACCAAGACAGUGUUACCAGCAUCAAAACAGUGUUACCAUCACCUGAACAAUGUUACCAUCACCAAGACAAUUAAUGAAGAUAGUUACCAUCACCAAGACAGUGUUACCAGCACCAAGACAGUGUUACCAUCACCACGACAGUGUUACCAUCACCAAGACAGUGUUACCAGCAUCAAAACAGUGUUACCAUCACCAAGACAAUUAAUGAAGAUAGUUACCAUCACCAAGACAGUGUUACCAGCACCAAGACAGUGUUACCAUCACCAAGACAGUGUUACCAUCACCAAGACAGUGUUACCAGCACCAGACAGUGUUACCAUCACAAACGGUGUUACCACAACUAGGACAGUGUUACCAACACCAACAGUUUGACCAGCACCAAAGACAGUGUUACCAUCACCUGAACAAUGUUACCAACACCAAGACAGUGUUACUAAAAUCAAGACGUUUUACUAUAACCAUGGCAGUGUUGCAUAACUGGAACAGUGUUACCAGCACCAGGACAGUUACUAAAGACAAUGUGACCAGCACCAAGACAGUGCCAGCACCAAGACAGUGUGACCAACACCAAGACAGUGUGACCAGCACCAAGACAGUACCAUCACCUGAACAAUGUUACCAACACCAAGACAGUGUUACUAAAAUCAAGACAGUUUUACUAUCACCGGCAGUGUUACCAUAACUAGGACAGUGUUACCAGCACCAGGACAGUUUUACUACUACCAGGACAAUGUUACCAGCACCAAGACAGUGUUACCAGCACCAGACAGUGUUACCAGCACCAAGACAGUGUUACCAGCACCAAGAUAGUUACUAAAGACAGUGUGACUACACCUAAGACAGUGUUACAGCACCAGACAGUGUUACCAGCACCAAGACAGUGUUACCAGCACCAAGACAGUGUUACCAGCACCAAGAUAGUUACUAAAGACAGUGUGACUAGCACCAAGACAGUAUUACCAGCACCAAGACAGUGUUACCACCACAAGGAGAGUCUUCGUAGCACCAGGGCAGUGUUACCAAUAUAUAUGACCAUAAAUAAAACAGUGUUAAAAAUAUCACCAAAGAACUUGAAACAUUUUAACACUGUUGACAUCAUAAUUUACAGUAUUAUCAGUAACAAGAAAGUGUUACCACAUCCAAGUAAUUAUUACUAUUAGUGUGACAGUUUAUAGAAAUAUCAGUGUUACCCGAUCCACACUUAUGUACAGCCUUAUGCAGCAAAAAAAUUAAUAAAAGUUUCACAAGUUUU